GCCAGGUGUGGGCGGUGGUAGUCCUGUAAGUACCUCGCCCUCUUGGGAGCUGGGCAAAGGGAUCACUAGAGCCCAGGAGUUCUGGGCUAUAGUGUGCUAUGCCCAUCGGGUAUCUGCACUAAGCUCAACAUUAUUAUGGUGACCUCCCGGGAGCAAGGAACCACCAGGUUGCCUAAGGAGGGGUGAACCGGCCCAUGUGGGAAACAGAGCAGGUCAAAACUCCCAUGAUGAUCAGUAGUGGGAUUGCACCUGUGAAUAGCCACUGUACUCCAGCCUGGGCAACAUAGUGAGACCCUGUCUCU
This 302-nucleotide signal recognition particle RNA is filed under the name Cercocebus atys (sooty mangabey). RNAcentral's name for it is "Metazoan signal recognition particle RNA (ENSCATG00000018930.1)". It matches the Rfam family "Metazoan signal recognition particle RNA". From Rfam's summary of the family: The signal recognition particle (SRP) is a universally conserved ribonucleoprotein. It is involved in the co-translational targeting of proteins to membranes. The eukaryotic SRP consists of a 300-nucleotide 7S RNA and six proteins: SRPs 72, 68, 54, 19, 14, and 9. The record is from RNAcentral. Lineage: Eukaryota; Metazoa; Chordata; Mammalia; Primates; Cercopithecidae.